ACUCCUACGGGAGGCUGCAGUAGGGAAUUUUCCGCAAUGGGCGAAAGCCUGACGGAGCAACGCCGCGUGAGGGAUGAAGGUUUUCGGAUCGUAAACCUCUGUCUAGAGGGACGAUAAUGACGGUACCUCUGGAGGAAGCCACGGCUAACUACGUGCCAGCAGCCGCGGUAAUACGUAGGUGGCAAGCGUUGUCCGGAAUUACUGGGCGUAAAGGGCGUGUAGGCGGCCUUUUAAGUCAGACGUGAAAUCCAUGGGCUUAACCCAUGAAUUGCGUUUGAAACUGGAGGGCUUGAGGAUCGGAGAGGGCAGUGGAAUUCCCAGUGUAGCGGUGAAAUGCGUAGAUAUUGGGAGGAACACCAGUGGCGAAGGCGACUGCCUGGACGACACCUGACGCUGAGGCGCGAAAGCUAGGGGAGCAAACGGGAUUAGAUACCCCGGUAGUCCUAGCCGUAAACGAUGGGUACUAGGUGUGGGAGGUAUCGACCCCUUCCGUGCCGCAGUUAACACAAUAAGUACCCCGCCUGGGGAGUACGGCCGCAAGGUUUGAAACUCAAAGGAAUUGACGGGGGCCCGCACAAGCGGUGGA
Molecule: ribosomal RNA, 586 nt
Filed under: uncultured bacterium
Lineage: Bacteria
Description: bacterial SSU rRNA
Rfam family: Bacterial small subunit ribosomal RNA
Source: RNAcentral